ACUUAGAUAGUUUUAAUUAAAAUAAUGAUUUGUGGUGUCAUAGAUAUACAUAUUAUAUUGUAUUUUAAGUU
RNAcentral lists this transfer RNA (71 nucleotides) under Cephus sareptanus. Its description in RNAcentral is "tRNA-His". Lineage: Eukaryota; Metazoa; Arthropoda; Insecta; Hymenoptera; Cephidae. The record is from RNAcentral.